GAUGAACGCUGGCGGCGUGCCUAAUACAUGCAAGUCGAGCGAACAGACGAGGAGCUUGCUCCUCUGACGUUAGCGGCGGACGGGUGAGUAACACGUGGAUAACCUACCUAUAAGACUGGGAUAACUUCGGGAAACCGGAGCUAAAACCGGAUAAUAUAUUGAACCGCAUGGUUCAAUAGUGAAAGACGGUUUUGCUGUCACUUAUAGAUGGAUCCGCGCCGCAUUAGCUAGUUGGUAAGGUAACGGCUUACCAAGGCGACGAUGCGUAGCCGACCUGUGAGGGUGAUCGGCCACACUGGAACUGAGACACGGUCCAGACUCCUACGGGAGGCAGCAGUAGGGAAUCUUCCGCAAUGGGCGAAAGCCUGACGGAGCAACGCCGCGUGAGUGAUGAAGGUCUUCGGAUCGUAAAACUCUGUUAUUAGGGAAGAACAAAUGUGUAAGUAACUAUGCACGUCUUGACGGUACCUAAUCAGAAAGCCACGGCUAACUACGUG
Molecule: ribosomal RNA, 497 nt
Filed under: uncultured bacterium
Lineage: Bacteria
Description: partial 16S ribosomal RNA
Rfam family: Bacterial small subunit ribosomal RNA
Source: RNAcentral